Long non-coding RNA from Musa acuminata AAA Group (dessert banana), 2521 nucleotides. RefSeq lists it as uncharacterized. The record is from RefSeq and is a predicted model, not a curated record. The transcript has 3 exons. Lineage: Eukaryota; Viridiplantae; Streptophyta; Magnoliopsida; Zingiberales; Musaceae.
AUCAUCUAAUUAGAUGGAGAGAGCUCGAGUCCCGUCACCGCCUUCCCUUCUUCCCCACCCUUUAUAACGACAAGAUGAGCGAGUUCUUCUUGCCUGCGGCUUCCUGCGGCUUCUGCUGCUGUCGUGACGAUCCUCUCUCUUUCUAUUUCUUUUGCGAUGUGACUAUUGACAGGAUUCAGAUCUGACAAGGGAGGCUUUGGGGUGGAAUUCCUUGUGUGGAGGGGAAACAAAAGGGAAAGAAAGAUCGAGAUUUUAGGUCAAGAAAUGAGACUUAAGGAGAAUGAGAAAACGGAUGGUUGACAGAAGAGAGUGAGCACAGGGCGGAGGACAAUGGUAUGAUACGAUGCUGUUUCCGUUGCGUGCUCACUUCUCUUCCUGUCAACCUUUAUUAUCAUCAUGAGCUCCACCCUCCGUCGCCUCUUAGCGAUGAAAGGGAAAAAGAUACAAAAGAUGAGAUCUUUAUCUCGAGCGUUUUGUUUUACAUUUAUUCAUUAUUAUUAUUAGGUUUGCUGCAGCUGUUCGUCUCUCGUUUCUUCCUUCUCUUUCUGUUUGUGCGUGUCAGAUGUUGCGUGAGCGUACAACGCAGCGGAUGAUUUCCAAGGCCGGUUGCGAAGUAAUUGCUUGUACAUACGUUUCUCAGUCGAACUGUAUCUUUCUUGCACCGCGUCUGGAGAAAUUAUUGCUUUCUGUGGUUUCUUGUGAGGGUUGGGGGAAAGUUUGGGGAGCAGAACAAGCUGUAUCAGUUGAGCUUUGAAAGCAAGAGCGCGACUUUUGAGGUGCGGGAGGCGACCGUCCGUCUGUUCCCUCGUCGAGAAUCGGACCAGAUUUGGGUCGGAUAGAGGAGGCGAGCACGGCGGGUACAUGCAUUUCCUGCGCACUGUGCGGGACUAACGAAACCACUGUUUGACUGGUCCUUUCUCUUCUCUCUCUGCGACUUUCUGGAAACAUUUUCUCUCCUCUUUGUGUAGGUAAGGAUUUGCUCUAGCCGUCUCGAUGGAGGCCGCUGAUGCAAGAAACGGCAGCGUCGCCCCUCGUAGUUCCUAGGGGAAAAAUCGAAUUUUGCCGACAGAUUCAAGUUUCUCCUUUCUGUUUCCUAUCUCCCAUUGUAGUCGUUGUUCACAAGAUCUUGCUUUCUGGCUUGUUUUAGACUGUAGGGGAAAAAAGAAGGAUUGUUCAUCUGUUGACGGCAACCCUUUUGCUAUAGCUGUCUUUUUGUUCUUAUGUUGGACUUUUCGCUCUUGGUGACCUUCACAAUUCUUGUGCUGAGUCUUUGCCUUUCCCUGUACUCCACCUUUAGAUGUACUGGGUGUGGAGGUUGCAGGAACCAAUACGGAGGAAGGAGAGAUCUCACUUGCCUUCCCAGAUCUUACCUAGUCUGAGGUUUCCAUAUUUGGGGCGGUAUUAAAGUCUCAGUACAUUGUUUCAUGUCGGACGUCUCGUGGCUUUUUCUCUAGUGGUGUAAGAUCUGUUCUCUUUUGACUGUAUAAGUCAUGUAGUCAUAAUAUCUUGAUCCGUGGACAUCUCUUUAGCUGCCAUCACUUCUUUUUCCCUUCCUCGUUCCUUUGUUUCUUUUGUCGGAUGUCACUGUGAAAAACCGAAGGCUUGCAAGAACGAUGAUUUCUUUUAGUUUGUUCUUCUGUUUCUAGGUGGAGUGAAUUGGAUCACUGGAAGGAGGCGGUUCCUUGAAGAACUUCUUUAUGCUCUCAAGAUUGCUCUUGGAAUUAGAUCGAUUCAAUGUUGAAUGUCUUGAAGAGGAGGCAUGGCACUUAGAAGUUCUUCAGAGCAGACUGGAAGCAAUAACAUUGAUGCUUGAAAAUUCCUCCAAAAAGAUAAGAUUGCUGUGAAGCUCAAGUGAAUCAUCAGGAUUCUGUCCUCACUGGACUAGAUGAUAUAGCAUGAUGACAGCAGAUGCAUAUCACAUCGGAUGUCUAAUGUUCUGCACUUAUGUUCUGUAUUUUAAGGGGAAGCAUCGGCAGGUGGUGCCUGUGCAAGGAAGCCUAGCGUCAAAGUAUGUGUGCCUUUCAUCUUUUUCAGAGACCAAACAAGAGUAUCAAAAGAAGUACUCAUUUUGGAUGCACAACUCCCGCAGUGGUCUAAAUGCUUUCAGGUGGGAAGUAUGAAUCUCUAGUUUGCUGCAACCAGUUGAUUGAUGCUGAGCUAAAAAUACGUCUUUGAAUACUGAUUCUACUCUGUGGGAUUAAGGAUUAGAAGAACAGGUGUGUUGAAGCGUUGGAAUUGUCCUCCCACCAAACCCGCUCAACUCCGGUCACGGUGGCUUUUGUAUGCCAUUGAGGUUUGUUUAUUGCUUUAUACAAGUAAAAUUGACAGUCUUCCUCACUCGAAGAAUGCCUGUGGUUCUGCCCUGACUGAAUAAAACUGAGUUGGUAAUGAUAGUAGCAGUAGCAAUGUUCCCAAAGAAUAGAAUUCCUUUGAACAGUAUGUAUUAUGUUCAAGCAGGCUGCUAUUCGUCUAAUAAAUUGUAACAUCAAUAGCCACAGGGAAUUGAAAAGAUUUCAUUGUC